GGGACUGUGGCUCAGUGGUAGAGCGCUUGCCUUGCAUUCAUAAAGCCCUAGGUUCAAUUCCUCAGUAUCA
This 70-nucleotide transfer RNA is filed under the name Dipodomys ordii (Ord's kangaroo rat). It matches the Rfam family "tRNA". From Rfam's summary of the family: Transfer RNA (tRNA) molecules are approximately 80 nucleotides in length. Their secondary structure includes four short double-helical elements and three loops (D, anti-codon, and T loops). The record is from Rfam by way of RNAcentral. Lineage: Eukaryota; Metazoa; Chordata; Mammalia; Rodentia; Heteromyidae.